This 301-nucleotide ribosomal RNA is filed under the name uncultured bacterium. Its description in RNAcentral is "partial 16S ribosomal RNA". It matches the Rfam family "Archaeal small subunit ribosomal RNA", at positions 459 to 760 of the family's 1478-position model. The record is from RNAcentral.
CAGCAGCCACGGUAAUACCAGCACCUCGAGUGGUCAGGAGGUUUAUUGGGCCUAAAGCAUCCGUAGCCGGUUGUUUAAGUUUUCGGUUAAAUCUAUGCGCUUAACGUAUAGGCUGCCGAAAAUACUGGACAGCUAGGGAGUGGGAGAGGUACACGGUACUCAAUAGGAAGGGGUAAAAUCCUUUGGUCUGUUGAUGACCACCUGUGGCGAAGGCGGUGAACCAGAACACGUUCGACGGUGAGGGAUGAAAGCUGGGGGAGCAAACCGGAUUAGAUACCCCCGUAGUCCCUGUCUCUUAUAU